AACUUGUUGUUAAAAUGAAGUUAAUGUAAUUUCACAAACAGUAGAGUUAAUGAGUUUUUCCAUUAACAAGAAUUUCUUAAAAUAAUAAUGUAUGGAUAUCAUUUGGAAAGUGACAUGAAAUGUUGUUAAAAAGUGAUGCAUACAAGUGUUUCAGAAGUCUGUCUAGGAAUAGAACAACAACUGAAGCUCAGACCAGUUGAUGGAAGAUACUGCAGAGUUUGGCAGGGAAAUAACCCAAGACAGCAAAGCGGCUCUUUUGGCGCAUUUACCAAGAGGACUAACAUGGCCACAAAUUCAUGAGAUCAUGCAGGAGCCGUACAGUAUAACAGCAGUACAAGUUCUAUAAAAGAUCCACGACCUACUGAAGCCCAGCUAAUUAACAAAAAAGUUUUUAAAAACUGUAAUUUUAUCCCACCUGGGUACUUAUAAUUUACUAAGCUGCCUACACAAGUUUUAGACUUG
Molecule: long non-coding RNA, 462 nt
Organism: Dreissena polymorpha
Lineage: Eukaryota; Metazoa; Mollusca; Bivalvia; Myida; Dreissenidae
Exons: 3
Source: RefSeq, a predicted model, not a curated record